This 959-nucleotide ribosomal RNA is filed under the name Haloarchaeobius iranensis. RNAcentral describes it as "bacterial SSU rRNA". It matches the Rfam family "Archaeal small subunit ribosomal RNA", at positions 429 to 1384 of the family's 1478-position model. The record is from RNAcentral. Lineage: Archaea; Methanobacteriati; Methanobacteriota; Halobacteria; Halobacteriales; Halorubellaceae.
UCAGGAACAAGAACUGGGCAAGACCGGUGCCAGCCGCCGCGGUAACACCGGCAGCUCGAGUGAUGACCGAUAUUAUUGGGCCUAAAGCGUCCGUAGCUGGCCGAGAGGGUCCGUCGGGAAAUCUGCUCGCUCAACGAGCAGGCGUCCGGCGGAAACCAAUCGGCUUGGGACCGGAAGACCUGAGGGGUACGUCUGGGGUAGGAGUGAAAUCCCGUAAUCCUGGACGGACCACCGGUGGCGAAAGCGCCUCAGGAAGUCGGAUCCGACAGUGAGGGACGAAAGCUGGGGUCACGAACCGGAUUAGAUACCCGGGUAGUCCCAGCUGUAAACGAUGCUCACUAGGUGUGGCACUGGCUACGAGCCAGUGCUGUGCCGCAGGGAAGCCGUGAAGUGAGCCGCCUGGGAAGUACGUCCGCAAGGAUGAAACUUAAAGGAAUUGGCGGGGGAGCACUACAACCGGAGGAGCCUGCGGUUUAAUUGGACUCAACGCCGGACAUCUCACCAGCUCCGACAGUAUGCAGUGACAGUCAGUGUGAUGAGCUUACUUGAGCUACUGAGAGGAGGUGCAUGGCCGCCGUCAGCUCGUACCGUGAGGCGUCCUGUUAAGUCAGGCAACGAGCGAGACCCGCACUCUUAAUUGCCAGCAUAGGCCUUUGGCCUGAUGGGUACAUUAGGAGGACUGCCAGUGCUAAACUGGAGGAAGGAACGGGCAACGGUAGGUCAGUAUGCCCCGAAUGAGCUGGGCUACACGCGGGCUACAAUGGUCGAGACAGUGGGAUGCAACCCCGAGAGGGGGCGCUAAUCUCCGAAACUCGAUCGUAGUUCGGAUUGCGGGCUGAAACUCGCCCGCAUGAAGCUGGAUUCGGUAGUAAUCGCCUCUCAGAAGGAGGCGGUGAAUACGUCCCUGCUCCUUGCACACACCGCCCGUCAAAGCACCCGAGUGAGGUCCGGAUGAGGCC